This 253-nucleotide ribosomal RNA is filed under the name uncultured bacterium. RNAcentral's name for it is "partial 16S ribosomal RNA". It matches the Rfam family "Bacterial small subunit ribosomal RNA", at positions 524 to 776 of the family's 1533-position model. The record is from RNAcentral.
UACGUAGGGGGCAAGCGUUGUCCGGAUUUAUUGGGCGUAAAGAGCGUGUAGGCGGUUUGGUAGGUCCGUUGUGAAAACUCGAGGCUCAACCUCGAGACGCCGAUGGAAACCAUCAGACUAGAGUCCGGAAGAGGAGAGUGGAAUUCCGCGUGUAGCAGUGAAAUGCGUAGAGAUGCGGAGGAACACCGAUGGCGAAGGCAGCCCCCUGGGCUAACACUGACGCUCAGGCACGAAAGCGUGGGGAGCGAACAGG